RNAcentral lists this ribosomal RNA (255 nucleotides) under uncultured prokaryote. Its description in RNAcentral is "partial 16S ribosomal RNA". It matches the Rfam family "Bacterial small subunit ribosomal RNA", at positions 522 to 776 of the family's 1533-position model. The record is from RNAcentral.
AAUACAGAGGGUGCGAGCGUUGUCCGGAAUCACUGGGCGUAAAGGGCGCGUAGGCGGUCUCUUAAGCGUGUGGUGAAAGCCCGGGGCUCAACUCCGGGUCGGCCGUGCGAACUGGGGGACUGGAGCUUGUCAUAGGCAGGCGGAAUUCCGGGUGUAGCGGUGGAAUGCGUAGAGAUCCGGAAGAACACCGGUGGCGAAGGCGGCCUGCUGGGACAGUGCUGACGCUGAGGCGCGGCAGCGUGGGGAGCAAACAGG